GUAAAAUUUCGGAGGCUUCUACAAAAUUGAUCAGAAUACCAACAAUAUUGCAGCUAAUUAAUCAACUCCACAAAAUUUGGGUCGAGGUACGUACCGGGAAUGGCAACAGAGGGAGGAGAGGGUUUGGCAUGGACGAUGACAAGCUUGAAAGGAGGAUUUGAGGUAAAGGGAGCGAAGAAGUGCUUCAGAGUCCAUUCCAAAGCGUAUGCGCUGUGUUCAUGAUCGUCGAAACCGACCACCAUCACUUGCUUCUCAGAUGUCGCCAUUAAUGGGAGCU
Molecule: long non-coding RNA, 277 nt
Organism: Alnus glutinosa
Lineage: Eukaryota; Viridiplantae; Streptophyta; Magnoliopsida; Fagales; Betulaceae
Exons: 2
Source: RefSeq, a predicted model, not a curated record